This is a long non-coding RNA of Paramormyrops kingsleyae, 3151 nucleotides long. RefSeq lists it as uncharacterized. The record is from RefSeq and is a predicted model, not a curated record. NCBI's taxonomy places the organism in Eukaryota, Metazoa, Chordata, Actinopteri, Osteoglossiformes, Mormyridae.
UUAUUCAUAUUUUUAAUCCUUUCGUUUAAUUACCUAUCCGCUGUGACUGGCUUUCGGCUGCAAUGGGUCACGAUAAUGCAAGACUGUCCACGGAGGUCCCUUGUUUCUAUCAUUUCUUAGUCAACACGUUAGUUGCACGUUUCGUUUUUUCACCCAGACAAAGCGUCAGUAGAUGUAACAGAGAAAACUAACAUUCUGCAUUCGUACAUAGCUCUGCUCUGCCCCAGUGCCUUGCCGAGUAUCUGCUCUUCAUUUUGCUGCAUCUCCACCCGCGCUAAGCAUAGAGAGGGAACUGAAAGCAUGCCUUUACAAAAAGGCUAAUGGGCAUUCAUUUGUUUUGGAAAAAUCAUCUCUGGAUAAAAGGCAAACAUCGUCUGUGAAUCGAUUUGUAUAGCUUCUGUGUCAUGGAGAGUCCGUAAAUGCCGGGGAGAGAGACAUGAAGAGGUGCAGCACUGGUGUCACCCUGCCAGUUUUGGGACUCGGCUGUAUGUGUGAGGAGUUUGCAGUUUGCAUCUUCACCCGUUGCCAUAUGUUCUCCUGGUUGCACAAGCUUAUGUGUGUAGCCAAAGAGCCAAAGGACCUUCACCUAUACUGUAUGCUUAAGAGGUGAGUCAACGUGGAUGUACACAACACCAGGCUUCAGGGCUAUUUACAGCCCGUGCUCCAAGCUUUUUUUAGCAACCAAGCUAUUGAUGUGCUCCCCCCUUACAAAUGUCUUUCUUUUUUUUUUGCUUGACAAGAAUUGAUCUAAGAUUAGAUUACUAUGAGUUGCUGAAUGCGCCUAACCAAAAUAAAGGCUGUCUGAUUCAAUUCACUUUUUUUAAAGAUUGUAGAAGAAAUAGAAGAUUAUAGAAGAAAUUAUACAGCCUCUCCCCAUGUUACAAUGGGGUUACGUUCCAAUAAACCUAUCAUAAGUCAAAAUUAAUACAGUUCACCUAACCUGACAACAUCAUAGUCUAGCCCACCUUAAACACGCUCAGAACACUUACAUUAGUCUACAGUUGGGCAAAAUCAUUAACACAAAGCCUUUUUUAUGAUAAAUUGUUGAAUAUCUCAUGUAAUUUAUUGAAUAAUGUACUGAAAGUGAAAAACAUUUACCCAUCGUAAAGUCGAAAUACACAGAUCAUCAUAACCCGGGGAGCGUCUGUGCUCUAUAAUUGCUUCAUACCAAAAUGCUUCAAGGAUCUGCAGUAACUCAGAUAGCAGCAAACCACCGUAAGGAAGUAGGGAAGUGGGAUAUCCUUCAAUAUAGUCAGAGAACAAGCAUUCAAAUCACUUAGCAUUAGGGGCAUCGGAGGGGUAUGGGUACCCUGGCAGAUUCAGGGGGGGCAACAUCUGAUGGGGCCCCUUUUAUUCAUAAAGGUACACGCAGAAUUGGGAGGGGGCCCUGCUUAGCAUAUAUAUAUUUACCUCUAAUACAGAUGUAUAAAGGGGUAAUACAUUUCUAUUUUGGACGUUAUGAAUAUAUCAUAAAUGUUGCAAGUGAAAGAUUGCAUACUUUGUAUUGUAUCACAUGGGAUUUAACCUAAAACUAAAACAUAAAUAUGCAGUAAAGUUAUAACACCAACUUUACUGUUUAUUACAGUGUUUCCAGUAUAAAUUCUCUUCAUUAUUAUAACUAUUAGAAUGAUUAAUCACCAGCACUGGAUACAUUUAAAUAUUUUGCAAGAUGUUUCAGUUUAAUUGAAUUUAAAUGUACGUGCUAAUAUGGUGACUACAUGAAAAAGAAAUCCUUCUUCCUAAACCUGGAGGGGAGUUUUUCAUAGCUAAACUUAUGACCAUCGCAUUUUCACUAUUUUGCCGUUUCAACAAGCAAAUCGAUUUGUUGUUUCCACGAUAACAUUUUCCAGUGAGUUUGCAUUUCAGUCCCUUUUAGGGGGAGUUGGACAUUCAAACACAUGGUUGUCAGGUAUUUAAUCAUUUAUAUUUGACAGACAGUGAUUAGUUUCCACACAUUUAAUUUUAGUUCAUUCAGAAGAAUUAUUCUGUUAAAAUAAUUAAAUCCAUCCAUUCAUCAAUCCAUCCGUCCAUCCAUCUUCUAACUGCUUUUCCAGGUCACGGGGGUCAUGGGUAAGUUCUGGAGCCUAUCCCAAACAGCACAAGACUGAGUCACACUCCAGAUGUGAGGCCAGUCCACUGCAGACCACAUACAUGCACAAACUAUGUGUAACUCAGAGACACCAGUUAGCCUACCCGCAUGUUUUUGGAUGGGGGGGGGGAACAUGUGAACUCCACACAUACAGGUAGGAUUCAUAGUCUCAUCUCAAGCAGCAUGAAGUAACAGCACCACCCACAGAGGACACAGAAGCAGAAGAAUGGGCCAAAAUCUCACCUGGACACUCUGAGGCUGGCUACUGUGUACAGAAAGCAUCUUGAAGCUGUCAUUGUAAACAGCAAAGGCUUCUCCACUACUUAUUAUAUACAUUUUACUAAGGGUGUUCAGUACCUUUUCCAUGAGUCAAUCCACUUAGUUGCACAUAACUUUUGUAUGGAUUGGAAUGUUACGAUUUCAUAAUGUCUGGUGAGCUAAUGUCUGGUCUAAAUCUCAUGUAUCACGUGCUGAAUAAUUAUUUCCGCCAAUGUAUGAACCAGAGUGAUUGUGAGGUGAUUAUUCUAUUUAAUGUUUUUAAAUAUUUGCAAUAUUUACAAGUGUAGCGUUACUGCUAUUAAUUUUCCAUGUGGUGCAUUUUUUUUCAUAUGCCUGAAGCAUAUUCAGUUAUAUAAUUUAAGAGGGUCAUGUUAUAAAUUGUAUUCAUGCAUUGUAUUGUCAAACAAUGUUUUUACCUCUACAUUAAUAACAUAUUUAAAUUCAAGUACUUCUUAUGUAGUUCAUUAAUUAAACUGGAUUAUGUUGGGGAAACUGUUCAGGUUGUUCUUAUAAUAAUAAAAAAUGAGGCCAGGAAUUUUAUUCAUUAUUUGAUGUACAAUGGCUUAUUCUGCACAGUAGUGACAUUAUUACCCUUUUUAGUGUUAAAAUUUGUUGUAUCCCUGAAUCCUUACAGGUUUCUGAUAAUGUCUUCAUAUUCACCUUGGCUUCCAAAUCUUAGCCUUGUCUACCAUUAUCAUCAAUAUAAGCCGAUGCUCCUUUCCAGUAUUUUACAAUGACUUUGGCAUUAUGUGUCACAUGCAAUAAAGCAGCUUAUGCAGGAAA